CACGUAGGGACCAAGCGUUGUCCGGAUUCAUUGGGCGUAAAGAGCUCGUAGGCGGCUUGGUAAGUCGGGUGUGAAACCUCCAGGCUCAACCUGGUGACGCCACCCGAUACUGCUAUAGCUUGAGUUCGGUAGGGGAGCGGGGAAUUCCUGGUGUAGCGGUGAAAUGCGCAGAUAUCAGGAGGAACACCGGUGGCGAAGGCGUCGCUCUGGGCCGAAACUGACGCUCAUGCACGAAAGCGUGGGGAGCAAACAGG
RNAcentral lists this ribosomal RNA (254 nucleotides) under uncultured bacterium. Its description in RNAcentral is "partial 16S ribosomal RNA". It matches the Rfam family "Bacterial small subunit ribosomal RNA", at positions 524 to 776 of the family's 1533-position model. The record is from RNAcentral.